GAGGACUUGAGGGAACAGUUAGU
RNAcentral lists this microRNA (23 nucleotides) under Capitella teleta. RNAcentral describes it as "cte-miR-2695". Lineage: Eukaryota; Metazoa; Annelida; Polychaeta; Capitellidae. The record is from miRBase by way of RNAcentral.